Molecule: ribosomal RNA, 514 nt
Filed under: uncultured Bacillota bacterium
Lineage: Bacteria; Bacillati; Bacillota
Description: bacterial SSU rRNA
Rfam family: Bacterial small subunit ribosomal RNA
Source: RNAcentral
UAGGGAAUCUUCCGCAAUGGACGAAAGUCUGACGGAGCAAACGCCGCGUGAGUGAUGAAGGCCUUCGGGUCGUAAAACUCUGUUGUUAGGGAAGAACAAGUAUCGUUCGAAUAGGGCGGUACCUUGACGGUACCUAACCAGAAAGCCACGGCUAACUACGUGCCAGCAGCCGCGGUAAUACGUAGGUGGCAAGCGUUGUCCGGAAUUAUUGGGCGUAAAGCGCGCGCAGGUGGUCCUUUAAGUCUGAUGUGAAAGCCCACGGCUCAACCGUGGAGGGUCAUUGGAAACUGGGGGACUUGAGUACAGAAGAGGAAAGUGGAAUUCCACGUGUAGCGGUGAAAUGCGUAGAGAUGUGGAGGAACACCAGUGGCGAAGGCGACUUUCUGGUCUGUAACUGACACUGAGGCGCGAAAGCGUGGGGAGCGAACAGGAUUAGAUACCCUGGUAGUCCACGCCGUAAACGAUGAGUGCUAAGUGUUAGAGGGUUUCCGCCCUUUAGUGUCUGCAGCUAACG